UACGUAGGUGGCAAGCGUUGUCCGGAUUUACUGGGCGUAAAGGGCGCGUAGGCGGCCUUCUAAGUCGAACGUGAAAUCCCCGGGCUCAACCCGGGAACUGCGUCCGAUACUGGAAGGCUUGAAUCCGGGAGAGGGAUGUGGAAUUCCAGGUGUAGCGGUGAAAUGCGUAGAUAUCUGGAGGAACACCGGUGGCGAAGGCGGCUUCCUGGUCCAGCACCGACGUUCAGGCACGAAAGCGUGGGGAGCAAACAGG
This 253-nucleotide ribosomal RNA is filed under the name uncultured bacterium. RNAcentral's name for it is "partial 16S ribosomal RNA". It matches the Rfam family "Bacterial small subunit ribosomal RNA", at positions 524 to 776 of the family's 1533-position model. The record is from RNAcentral.